RNAcentral lists this ribosomal RNA (439 nucleotides) under uncultured bacterium. RNAcentral describes it as "partial 16S ribosomal RNA". It matches the Rfam family "Bacterial small subunit ribosomal RNA", at positions 339 to 795 of the family's 1533-position model. The record is from RNAcentral.
CUACGGGAGGCAGCAGUGAGGAAUAUUGCACAAUGGGGGGAACCCUGAUGCAGCAACGCCGCGUGGAGGAUGACGCAUUUCGGUGUGUAAACUCCUUUUAUAUGUCAAGAAAAUGACGGUAGCAUAUGAAUAAGCGCCGGCUAACUCCGUGCCAGCAGCCGCGGUAAUACGGAGGGCGCAAGCGUUACUCGGAAUCACUGGGCGUAAAGGACGCGUAGGCGGGAUUGUAAGUCAGGUGUGAAAUCCUAUGGCUCAACCAUAGAACUGCACUUGAAACUACAAACCUAGAGUAUGGGAGGGGCAGAUGGAAUUAGUGGUGUAGGGGUAAUAUCCGUAGAUAUCACUAGGAAUACCGAAAGCGAAGGCGAUCUGCUGGAACAUUACUGACGCUGAGGCGUGAAAGCGUGGGGAGCAAACAGGAUUAGAUACCCCGGUAGUC